CCUACGGGAGGCUGCAGUCGAGAAUCAUUCACAAUGGGGGAAACCCUGAUGGGGCGACGACGCGUGGGGGAAUGAAGGUCUGCGGAGUGUAAACCCCUGUCAUGGGGGAGCAAAGUAAAAAGAUAGGACCACAAGAGGAAGAGACGGCUAACUCUGGGCCAGCAGCCGCGGUAAUACAGAGGUCUCAAGCGUUGUUCGGAAUCACGGGGCGUAAAGGGUGCGUAGGCUGUUUCGUAAGUCGUGGGUGAAAGGCGCGGGCUCCACCCGCGGACGGCACAUGAUACUGCGAGACUAGAGUACUGGAGUGGGAACCGGCCUUCUCGGUGUCGCCGUUACAUGCGUCGAUCUC
This 349-nucleotide ribosomal RNA is filed under the name uncultured bacterium. Its description in RNAcentral is "partial 16S ribosomal RNA". It matches the Rfam family "Bacterial small subunit ribosomal RNA", at positions 338 to 698 of the family's 1533-position model. The record is from RNAcentral.